GAUGAACGCUGGCGGCGUGCUUAACACAUGCAAGUCGAACGAAGCACCUCUCCCGAAGAUUGACCCAGCUUGCUGUAGAAUGAUUCAUUUGAGGGGACUGAGUGGCGGACGGGUGAGUAACGCGUGGGUAACCUGCCUCAUAGAGGGGGACAACAGUUGGAAACGACUGCUAAUACCGCAUAGUAAGAAGAAUUCGCAUGUUUUCUUCUUGAAAGUUUUAUCGCUAUGAGAUGGACCCGCGACUGAUUAGCUAGUUGGUAAGGUAACGGCUUACCAAGGCGACGAUCAGUAGCCGGCUUGGGAGAGUGAACGGCCACAUUGGGACUGAGACACGGCCCAAACUCCUACGGGAGGCAGCAGUGGGGAAUAUUGCACAAUGGGGGAAACCCUGAUGCAGCGACGCCGCGUGAGUGAAGAAGUAUUUCGGUAUGUAAAGCUCUAUCAGCAGGGAAGAUAAUGACGGUACCUGACUAAGAAGCCCCGGCUAACUACGUG
Molecule: ribosomal RNA, 495 nt
Filed under: uncultured bacterium
Lineage: Bacteria
Description: partial 16S ribosomal RNA
Rfam family: Bacterial small subunit ribosomal RNA
Source: RNAcentral